Molecule: ribosomal RNA, 466 nt
Filed under: Krasilnikovozyma curviuscula
Lineage: Eukaryota; Fungi; Basidiomycota; Tremellomycetes; Cystofilobasidiales; Mrakiaceae
Description: LSU rRNA
Rfam family: Eukaryotic large subunit ribosomal RNA
Source: RNAcentral
GCGAGUGAAGCGGGAUGAGCUCAAAUUUAAAAUCUGGCAGCAUCAGUUGUCCGAGUUGUAGUCUAGAGAAGUGUUUUCCGCGUUGGCCUGUGUACAAGUCCCUUGGAAUAGGGCGUCAUAGAGGGUGAGAAUCCCGUCCUUGACACAGAUCCCAAUGCUUUGUGAUACGCUCUCAAAGAGUCGAGUUGUUUGGGAAUGCAGCUCAAAAUGGGUGGUAAAUUCCAUCUAAAGCUAAAUAUUGGCGAGAGACCGAUAGCGAACAAGUACCGUGAGGGAAAGAUGAAAAGCACUUUGGAAAGAGAGUUAAACAGUACGUGAAAUUGUUGAAAGGGAAACGAUUGAAGUCAGUCAUGCUUCUCUGGAUUCAGCUUGUUCUACAAGUGUAUUUCCAGUUUUGCAGGCCAGCAUCAGUUUUGUUUGGUGGAAAAAGCUUGAGGAACGUGGCAACUUCGGUUGUGUUAUAGCC